Molecule: transfer RNA, 66 nt
Filed under: Orohermes crepusculus
Lineage: Eukaryota; Metazoa; Arthropoda; Insecta; Megaloptera; Corydalidae
Description: tRNA-Phe
Source: RNAcentral
AUUUAGAUAGCUUAUAUAUAGAGUGUAACAUUGAAGAUGUUAAGGAAGUUUAUUAACUUUUAAAUA